RNAcentral lists this ribosomal RNA (496 nucleotides) under uncultured bacterium. RNAcentral's name for it is "partial 16S ribosomal RNA". It matches the Rfam family "Bacterial small subunit ribosomal RNA", at positions 29 to 507 of the family's 1533-position model. The record is from RNAcentral.
AUGAACGCUGGCGGCGUGCCUAAUACAUGCCAGUCGAGCGAACGGACGAGAAGCUUGCUUCUCUGAUGUUAGCGGCGGACGGGUGAGUAACACGUGGAUAACCUACCUAUAAGACUGGGAUAACUUCGGGAAACCGGAGCUAAUACCGGAUAAUAUUUUGAACCGCAUGGUUCAAAAGUGAAAGACGGUCUUGCUGUCACUUAUAGAUGGAUCCGCGCUGCAUUAGCUAGUUGGUAAGGUAACGGCUUACCAAGGCAACGAUGCAUAGCCGACCUGAGAGGGUGAUCGGCCACACUGGAACUGAGACACGGUCCAGACUCCUACGGGAGGCAGCAGUAGGGAAUCUUCCGCAAUGGGCGAAAGCCUGACGGAGCAACGCCGCGUGAGUGAUGGAGGUCUUCGGAUCGUAAAACUCUGUUAUUAGGGAAGAACAUAUGUGUAAGUAACUGUGCACAUCUUGACGGUACCUAAUCAGAAAGCCACGGCUAACUACGUG